CCUACGGGCGGCUGCAGUGGGGAAUCUUGCACAAUGGGGGAAACCCUGAUGCAGCGACGCCGCGUGAACGAUGAAGCCCUUCGGGGUGUAAAGUUCUUUCGGCAGGGACGAUAAUGACGGUACCUGCAGAAGCAGCUGCGGCUAACUACGUGCCAGCAGCCGCGGUAAUACGUAGGCAGCAAGCGUUGUUCGGAAUUACUGGGCGUAAAGAGUGCGUAGGCGGUUGGCUAAGUUUGAUGUGAAAUCUCCCGGCUUAACUGGGAGGGUGCGUCGAAAACUGGUCAGCUAGAGUGCGGGAGAGGAUAGUGGAAUUCCUGGUGUAGCGGUGAAAUGCGUAGAUAUCAGGAGGAACACCUGAGGUGUAGACGGCUAUCUGGACCGUAACUGACGCUGAGGCACGAAAGCGUGGGGAGCAAACAGGCUUAGAUACCCCUGUAGUC
RNAcentral lists this ribosomal RNA (440 nucleotides) under uncultured Acidobacteriota bacterium. RNAcentral's name for it is "bacterial SSU rRNA". It matches the Rfam family "Bacterial small subunit ribosomal RNA", at positions 338 to 795 of the family's 1533-position model. The record is from RNAcentral. Lineage: Bacteria; Pseudomonadati; Acidobacteriota.